UACUGACGCUUUUAGCUUUAUCUUAAAUUUGAAUAAACCCUUGAAACGCAAAGCCAAAGGUUUUCAUGGUGUGCAAGAAACUCGUGGUAUAUUCAAAGUUUUCACAUUUUAUAAGCACGCUGAUUAUUAUAUUUUUUCGAAGGUUAUGGAAGAAGCUGAUUGGAGCGAAAUGUUACCCAAGGCUCCUAUCAGUAAAACUAGCUAUCGUGGAUCCACGAACGUGGUGCUCUGGCGGUGUGUAAAUCUACUAAUGUCAUUCUUUUUCUUUCUUGCUACAUGUGUUCAGGUAAACGACCCUGAUCCUGUCUUGUGGAUGGUGGUGUAUGCUGUACCUUCUAUACUAACCCUGCUGAUU
Molecule: long non-coding RNA, 355 nt
Organism: Limulus polyphemus (Atlantic horseshoe crab)
Lineage: Eukaryota; Metazoa; Arthropoda; Merostomata; Xiphosura; Limulidae
Exons: 4
Source: RefSeq, a predicted model, not a curated record